This 253-nucleotide ribosomal RNA is filed under the name uncultured bacterium. RNAcentral describes it as "partial 16S ribosomal RNA". It matches the Rfam family "Bacterial small subunit ribosomal RNA", at positions 524 to 776 of the family's 1533-position model. The record is from RNAcentral.
GACGAACCGUGCAAACGUUGUUCGGAUUCACUGGGCUUAAAGGGUGCGUAGGCGGGUGAUCAAGUCAGGGGUGAAAUCCUCCCGCUUAACGGGAGAAGUGCCUUUGAUACUGGUCGUCUUGAGGGAGGUAGGGGCAUGUGGAACUUCCGGUGGAGCGGUGAAAUGCGUAGAUAUCGGAAGGAACGCCGGUGGCGAAAGCGACGUGCUGGAUCUCUUCUGACGCUGAGGCACGAAAGCCAGGGUAGCGAACGGG